UACAGAGGUGGCAAGCGUUGUUCGGAAUUACUGGGCGUAAAGGGCGCGUAGGCGGUCCCGUCAGUCCCUUGUGAAAUCCCUCGGCUUAACCGGGGAAUGGCGUCUGAUACUGGAUGGCUUGAGUUCGGGAGAGGGAUGCGGAAUUCCAGGUGUAGCGGUGAAAUGCGUAGAUAUCUGGAGGAACACCGGUGGCGAAGGCGGCAUCCUGGACCGAGACUGACACUGAGGAGCGAAAGCCAGGGGAGCAAACGGG
RNAcentral lists this ribosomal RNA (253 nucleotides) under uncultured bacterium. RNAcentral describes it as "partial 16S ribosomal RNA". It matches the Rfam family "Bacterial small subunit ribosomal RNA", at positions 524 to 776 of the family's 1533-position model. The record is from RNAcentral.